This 953-nucleotide long non-coding RNA is filed under the name Homo sapiens (human). Its description in RNAcentral is "small nucleolar RNA host gene 17". The stretch from base 3 to 136 matches the Rfam family "Small nucleolar RNA SNORA71". The record is from RNAcentral. Lineage: Eukaryota; Metazoa; Chordata; Mammalia; Primates; Hominidae.
GCUCCUGCAUCCGAAAGUGAUCAUAGGCUGCCUGUGCCUAGGUCAUUGAUAGUGCAGGGAGAGGAACGCUGAAAGAGGUUGUCCCCGUGUUUGGAGGGUCCACCCUAUCCCAUCCGAACCCUGAAGCUUUCACACAACUCCUGUUGCUCUCCUGCCAGCCCUUGAGGAGUCCGGCGCUUGCUUGGCUGCCACAUGAAAGAUUGUCAGCUGACCUCUGUCCUGUGUGCCCAGUGGCCCCAGGUGACGUGUCUUCAAGAAGAGGCUGAGCUGCGGUGCUUGUAAGGCAGGGUCUCAUUCUGUCACCCAGGCUGGAGUGCAGUGGUGCAAUGAUGGCUCACUGCAGCCUCGACCUGGGCUCAAGUGAUCCUCCACCUCAGCUUCCUGAGUAGCUGGGACCACAGAGUCAUGUGCUGUUCCUGGGGCUUGGAUGAUGUAGGGGAAGCAAGGUGAAAGUGGUAUCCCGUGGUUCCACGUUCUGUCCUGCUGUGGGGCUGUCCCUCACAUGCUUUCAGUGGCUGUUGCAGAGGAAGAGCCUCCGGAAAUCUGCGUGGGUCUCAGCCUUAGAUCCAAGGACAGUCCAAGGAAGUCCUAAGACCAUGGAGUUGGUGAUCUGGGAUCUGGGUUUGCUGAUAUUUCUCACCGUGAAUCUCUUGGUGGUGUUUGUGGGCACGAGAGGGGCAGAGAAUGGAGAGUGAGGCUACCACAUGAAGCGUCACCAGAGCUGCUCCCUGCUGCCUGCUCAGAGCACCCCGGAUCCACUGUUCAAUCUGCACAAGAUUCGGGGUCCAGACAUGGGAGACUUCAGCUGCCUCAGAGGACCGUGGACAGGGAAGGCCAGCCUCGCAUCCCUCUGUCCAUGCCUGGAAUGACUUUAAUAACCAAGAGUUUUAUUUUUGAAUUUGUAGCUGUCGUUCACUUUUUACCCACCCAUUCAAUAAACCUUACAGAAUUGC